This 497-nucleotide ribosomal RNA is filed under the name uncultured bacterium. RNAcentral describes it as "partial 16S ribosomal RNA". It matches the Rfam family "Bacterial small subunit ribosomal RNA", at positions 28 to 507 of the family's 1533-position model. The record is from RNAcentral.
GAUGAACGCUGGCGGCGUGCCUAAUACAUGCGAGUCGAGCGAACGGACGAGAAGCUUGCUUCUCUGAUGUUAGCGGCGGACGGGUGAGUAACACGUGGAUAACCUACCUAUAAGACUGGGAUAACUUCGGGAAACCGGUGCUAAUACUGGAUGAUAUUUUGAACCGCAUGGUUCAAAAGUGAAAGACGGUCUUGCUGUCACUUAUAGAUGGAUCCGCGCUGCAUUAGCUAGUUGGUAAGGUAACGGCUUACCAAGGCAACGAUGCAUAGCCGACCUGAGAGGGUGAUCGGCCACACUGGAACUGAGACACGGUCCAGACUCCUACGGGAGGCAGCCGUAGGGAAUCUUCCGCAAUGGGCGAAAGCCUGACGGAGCAACGCCGCGUGAGUGAUGAAGGUCUUCGGAUCGUAAAACUCUGUUAUUAGGGAAGAACAUAUGUGUAAGUAACUGUGCACAUCUUGACGGUACCUAAUCAGAAAGCCACGGCUAACUACGUG